CCUACGGGAGGCAGCAGUGGGGAAUAUUGCACAAUGGGCGCAAGCCUGAUGCAGCAACGCCGCGUGAGGGACGACGGCCUUCGGGUUGUAAACCUCUUUUAGUAGGGAAGAAGCGAAAGUGACGGUACCUGCAGAAAAAGCACCGGCUAACUACGUGCCAGCAGCCGCGGUAAUACGUAGGGUGCAAGCGUUAUCCGGAAUUAUUGGGCGUAAAGAGCUCGUAGGCGGUUUGUCGCGUCUGCUGUGAAAACUGGAGGCUCAACCUCCAGCCUGCAGUGGGUACGGGCAGACUAGAGUGCGGUAGGGGAGAUUGGAAUUCCUGGUGUAGCGGUGGAAUGCGCAGAUAUCAGGAGGAACACCGAUGGCGAAGGCAGAUCUCUGGGCCGUAACUGACGCUGAGGAGCGAAAGCAUGGGGAGCGAACAGGAUUAGAUACCCUGGUAGUCCAUGCCGUAAACGUUGGGAACUAGAUGUAGGGACCAUUCCACGGUUUCUGUGUCGCNGCUACGCAUAGUUACCCGUCCGUCGGGUAGGUACGGCCGGCCGACGGUAACGUAAACCGUUAAACGGUUAAAGUUAGUACGGUUCGUUGAGACGUUGCCGACGGACGACGACGAGGGAGGAGG
RNAcentral lists this ribosomal RNA (625 nucleotides) under uncultured bacterium. RNAcentral's name for it is "bacterial SSU rRNA". The stretch from base 1 to 522 matches the Rfam family "Bacterial small subunit ribosomal RNA", at positions 338 to 873 of the family's 1533-position model. The record is from RNAcentral.